RNAcentral lists this unclassified non-coding RNA (331 nucleotides) under soil metagenome. RNAcentral describes it as "partial contains 5.8S ribosomal RNA, internal transcribed spacer 2, and large subunit ribosomal RNA". The stretch from base 1 to 120 matches the Rfam family "5.8S ribosomal RNA", at positions 35 to 154 of the family's 154-position model. The record is from RNAcentral.
GAUGAAGAACGCAGCGAAAUGCGAUAAGUAAUGUGAAUUGCAGAAUUCAGUGAAUCAUCGAAUCUUUGAACGCACAUUGCGCCCCCUGGUGUUCCGGGGGGCAUGCCUGUUCGAGCGUCAUUUCACCACUCAAGCCUCGCUUGGUAUUGGGCAACGCGGUCCGCCGCGUGCCUCAAAUCGACCGGCUGGGUCUUCUGUCCCCUAAGCGUUGUGGAAACUAUUCGCUAAAGGGUGUUCGGGAGGCUACGCCGUAAAACAACCCCAUUUCUAAGGUUGACCUCGGAUCAGGUAGGGAUACCCGCUGAACUUAAGCAUAUCAAUAAGCGGAGGA